UUUGUUUCCACUUUCCUCUGUCUUGUGCCAACUUGCCCAAGUAGCUGUUUACGUGUUUGUGCGUCGGUAUGGAGAGAGCGGUGGCGCAGUGGCCAGGAGUGCAUCCACAAGCGAUUGAGUAAGGUCCCCUGGGCUAUACAUUUCUUCUUCAGAAGUGACCUGGCCAUCCAUGACGGCUCAACGAUGUGGCUUACGUGGAAAUCUAAAGCGGCGAGACGAAUGAGUGGCUGAGCAAGCUCGUGGUUACGUGAGCGUUGUGUUCUUCCGCACGCGGAGAGGCACGGGGCGGUGAGCAGACCCAGGGAGUGGGAUCGACGCUCCCUCGACCAUGUCGGAGCGGAGGUCUCCAAGCUCUUAGAAGUGGAACGCGUACAGGCAAGUCAAGAGAAACUUUGACAUGGGUGAGCGCGGCCCAAGUGGCCCAAUCCUCAGCCCAGGUGCGUGUGCCGUGACGACACGAAACACUCGUCACAAAUGAACCACGACACAUCGCUGCUGGUCUCGUCAAGGAGCAUCAACCAUCACGCGAACUGCGCUCAUCGUCGCAGCGGCGGCUUUUGGCAAACCGCCGAACAAAGGCGUCGCUGCAUCGUGCGCUUUCAGAUGCGCUUCUGCAAUCGUCUGGGAUUUGCCCUUCCGAUAUUAGGAUGCCCCUUUUUACUUUUAAGUUUUAAAUCUAGAUUGAAAACUAAUUUCUUCGGUACAGUUUUUGCAUUUUAUUUUGUUGUCCUUUCCCCACACCUCCUGAUUAGCACGGUUGGCUACGUACGGUGUGAAAGAAGUUCAACAUGCAUGCUUGUGAGCAGUUUUUUUUAUUAUAAAUAAUUGUUAACAUCACCAGAUCUCCGAAGCUAAGGCUUGGAUGGGUGAACACCACACACAAAACAAGUGUUAUAGGCUACUGAAAGGCCACGUUGAAGGUAGCAGAGGGCACUGCAGCAAAAUACAAUGUUGUAGUGUGUUUCUAUGGUCCCCCUCCCCCACCUUCAACAACUUGCACUGACCAGCAUGGAGAAGCGCAGUCGACUAACACCCACGCUCACCACCCCACAGACUCGCCACCACACAAACUCUCCAGCACACAGACACCAUAGACUCGCCACCUCCGAGACCCAUCAGACUCGCCACCCACACGAUGCGUGUCGGUGCACGGGCCCGGGUAAAACUACGUGACGGAGUCGCAGCCUUUCCCUGUACACCUUGGGGUGCGACAGGGAUGUCCUCUGGCUCCCACGUUAUUUAACAUCUAUUCUGACCGCCUAGUUCGUGAAGCCUUCAAUAGCUGUACGGGGAAAUUUCCAUUUGGUACAGAUAUAAUGGGAGGCUGAUCAAUGC
Molecule: long non-coding RNA, 1335 nt
Organism: Lethenteron reissneri (Far Eastern brook lamprey)
Lineage: Eukaryota; Metazoa; Chordata; Hyperoartia; Petromyzontiformes; Petromyzontidae
Source: RefSeq, a predicted model, not a curated record